RNAcentral lists this long non-coding RNA (303 nucleotides) under Nicotiana benthamiana. RNAcentral describes it as "long non-coding RNA (NBEN_LNC002102)". Lineage: Eukaryota; Viridiplantae; Streptophyta; Magnoliopsida; Solanales; Solanaceae. The record is from RNAcentral.
GAUCCAACUGAUUAUGUUACACAAUCUGGUAUGGUAAAGGAUGCCACGAAAAUGGAUGUUGAGAUGAAGCCUAAAAAAUUCUGUGAAUGAUAGGUCUGAUGCUGAUCACCAUGAAAUGGCUAGGAAUUCUGGGACUACUGCUAUAUCUGAUACACCAAAUGCAGCAAAUCCAGUUGCGCACAAUGCUGGGGUUCUUGCUGUUCGAGGACACCAAAUUGAUGAUGUUGGUCCAGCUGAAGAAAUGCCAAAUGCUGAUUUAGCACAGAAGAGUAAAUCUGCUGUUUCAUCCAAUUUCAAUAUUCC